RNAcentral lists this ribosomal RNA (478 nucleotides) under uncultured bacterium. RNAcentral's name for it is "partial 16S ribosomal RNA". It matches the Rfam family "Bacterial small subunit ribosomal RNA", at positions 28 to 523 of the family's 1533-position model. The record is from RNAcentral.
GACGAACGCUGGCGGCGUGCUUAACACAUGCAAGUCGAACGGUAAGGCCCUUCGGGGUACACGAGUGGCGAACGGGUGAGUAACACGUGGGUGAUCUGCCCUGCACUUCGGGAUAAGCCUGGGAAACUGGGUCUAAUACCGGAUAGGACCACUGCCUGCAUGGGUGGUGGGGGAAAGCUUUUGCGGUGUGGGAUGGGCCCGCGGCCUAUCAGCUUGUUGGUGGGGUGAUGGCCUACCCAGGGGACGACGGGUAGCCGGCCUGAGAGGGUGACCGGCCACACUGGGACUGAGAUACGGCCCAGGCACCUACGGGAGGCAGCAGUGGGGAAUAUUGCACAAUGGGCGCAAGCCUGAUGCAGCGACGCCGCGUGAGGGAUGACGGCCUUCGGGUUGUAAACCUCUUCCAGCACCGACGAAGCGCAAGUGACGGUAGGUGCAGAAGAAGGACCGGCCAACUACGUGCCAGCAGCCGCCGUAA